This is a long non-coding RNA of Sebastes umbrosus (honeycomb rockfish), 417 nucleotides long. RefSeq lists it as uncharacterized. Lineage: Eukaryota; Metazoa; Chordata; Actinopteri; Perciformes; Sebastidae. The transcript is spliced from 4 exons. The record is from RefSeq and is a predicted model, not a curated record.
UGGGCUCGCCAUUGUACGUGGGCGUCUCUGUAGAGGAGAGAGAUCCAAGCUUUGCAGUUGUUCUGGAGGACUGCUACGCCACUCACUCAUCAAACCCUGAUGAUUCCAAGCAAUACCCUCUCAUCCAGAACAAGUGUCCUGCUGACCGCCGACAGGUGUCAGUGGUUGAGAGCGGCUCAUCCCUCCGGGCUCGUUUCUCCGUGCUGUUCUUCCUGCUCCAGAAUGAAUACAGAGACGUUUACCUUCACUGCAGCCUCAGCCUGUGUGACUGGAGGAGCUCCUCUUGUGUUCCACCUUGCACAAGAAGGACCUACCGCUCUGUAUCCAACUCUGAUCCCCUGACUGCCCUCACCAUUGGACCAAUCAUUUGGGACAAGUCACCUGAGUGAGCUGGUAACAUGCAGUAAUAAUUCAAAC